This 361-nucleotide long non-coding RNA is filed under the name Salvia miltiorrhiza (redroot sage). Its description in RNAcentral is "long non-coding RNA (SMIL_LNC002709)". Lineage: Eukaryota; Viridiplantae; Streptophyta; Magnoliopsida; Lamiales; Lamiaceae. The record is from RNAcentral.
AGAGAGAAGGGAGCGAGAGAUGAGGGAAGAGGGAGCCGAGAGAGGGAGAAGAGAGUGAGAUGUGAUAGUAUGUGUGUGUGUGUGCGGCUGGGGAGGAAGAAAAAGGGUGGUGGGGGUGUUGGGCUUUAGGUUUGGGUUAGGGGUUGGGCUUUAAAUUUGGGCCGGGUUUUUAAUUAGUGUUGGGCUGAAAAUUUUGUUAGAAUUUGGGCCGAGUUGGGCCGUUUUUUUUUCAUUUUUUUUAUUUAUUUUUUUUCAGUUGGGCUUGAGUCUUUGGGCCAAGUCAGUAAUGGGCUCAGUUUAUUUAAUUUAGUUAUGGGACGAUUUUAUGAGUACUUGGGCCGAGAUUUUUAAUUAAAUGGGC